GCAGUGGUGGUUCAGUACUAGAAUUUUCACCUUCUGUGCAGGAGACCCAGGUUCGAUCCUUGGCCAGUGCA
Molecule: transfer RNA, 71 nt
Filed under: Loxodonta africana (African savanna elephant)
Lineage: Eukaryota; Metazoa; Chordata; Mammalia; Proboscidea; Elephantidae
Rfam family: tRNA
About the family: Transfer RNA (tRNA) molecules are approximately 80 nucleotides in length. Their secondary structure includes four short double-helical elements and three loops (D, anti-codon, and T loops). Further hydrogen bonds mediate the characteristic L-shaped molecular structure. tRNAs have two regions of fundamental functional importance: the anti-codon, which is responsible for specific mRNA codon recognition, and the 3' end, to which the tRNAs corresponding amino acid is attached (by aminoacyl-tRNA synthetases). tRNAs cope with the degeneracy of the genetic code in two manners: having more than one tRNA (with a specific anti-codon) for a particular amino acid; and 'wobble' base-pairing, i.e. permitting non-standard base-pairing at the 3rd anti-codon position.
Source: Rfam by way of RNAcentral